Molecule: ribosomal RNA, 497 nt
Filed under: uncultured bacterium
Lineage: Bacteria
Description: partial 16S ribosomal RNA
Rfam family: Bacterial small subunit ribosomal RNA
Source: RNAcentral
GACGAACGCUGGCGGCGUGCCUAAUACAUGCAAGUCGAACGCUGAAGAGAGGAGCUUGCUCUUCUUGGAUGAGUUGCGAACGGGUGAGUAACGCGUAGGUAACCUGCCUUGUAGCGGGGGAUAACUAUUGGAAACGAUAGCUAAUACCGCAUAACAAUGGAUGACACAUGUCAUUUAUUUGAAAGGGGCAAUUGCUCCACUACAAGAUGGACCUGCGUUGUAUUAGCUAGUAGGUGAGGUAAUGGCUCACCUAGGCGACGAUACAUAGCCGACCUGAGAGGGUGAGGGGCGGAACUGGGAGUGAGACAGGGCACAGGGGCCCACCGGAGCCAGCAGUACGGAGUCUUGGGCAAUGGGGGCGACCGUGAGCAAGCAACGCGGCGUGAGUGAGGAGGGUUUUCGGAUCGAAAAGCUCUGAUGUAAGUGAGGAACAGGAGUGAGAGUGGGAAGAUCACACUGUGAGGGGCGCUGAAAAGAAAGGGACGGCUAACUAAGUC